RNAcentral lists this ribosomal RNA (3127 nucleotides) under Salmonella enterica subsp. enterica serovar Heidelberg. RNAcentral describes it as "23S ribosomal RNA". It matches the Rfam family "Bacterial large subunit ribosomal RNA". Lineage: Bacteria; Pseudomonadati; Pseudomonadota; Gammaproteobacteria; Enterobacterales; Enterobacteriaceae. The record is from RNAcentral.
GGUUAAGCGACUAAGCGUACACGGUGGAUGCCCUGGCAGUCAGAGGCGAUGAAGGACGUGCUAAUCUGCGAUAAGCGCCGGUAAGGUGAUAUGAACCGUUAUAACCGGCGAUUUCCGAAUGGGGAAACCCAGUGUGAUUCGUCACACUAUCAUUAACUGAAUCCAUAGGUUAAUGAGGCGAACCGGGGGAACUGAAACAUCUAAGUACCCCGAGGAAAAGAAAUCAACCGAGAUUCCCCCAGUAGCGGCGAGCGAACGGGGAGGAGCCCAGAGCCUGAAUCAGCAUGUGUGUUAGUGGAAGCGUCUGGAAAGGCGCGCGAUACAGGGUGACAGCCCCGUACACAAAAGCGCAUGUGCUGUGAGCUCGAUGAGUAGGGCGGGACACGUGGUAUCCUGUCUGAAUAUGGGGGGACCAUCCUCCAAGGCUAAAUACUCCUGACUGACCGAUAGUGAACCAGUACCGUGAGGGAAAGGCGAAAAGAACCCCGGCGAGGGGAGUGAAAAAGAACCUGAAACCGUGUACGUACAAGCAGUGGGAGCCCCACCACCAAAGCAUUUGCUGUACCGUGUUGACGGAGCGAAGCGACGUCAAACCGAUAAAACAGCAGUGUAAAGUGAGCCGCAGGGCGCUUUGCGCGACAGCGCAAAGGCAGGCGGUUUCGCGUAGCGAAAGCGAAUGCUUUGGGGUGGGGUGACUGCGUACCUUUUGUAUAAUGGGUCAGCGACUUAUAUUCUGUAGCAAGGUUAACCGAAUAGGGGAGCCGGAGGGAAACCGAGUCUUAACCGGGCGUUAAGUUGCAGGGUAUAGACCCGAAACCCGGUGAUCUAGCCAUGGGCAGGUUGAAGGUUGGGUAACACUAACUGGAGGACCGAACCGACUAAUGUUGAAAAAUUAGCGGAUGACCUGUGGCUGGGGGUGAAAGGCCAAUCAAACCGGGAGAUAGCUGGUUCUCCCCGAAAGCUAUUUAGGUAGCGCCUCGUGAAUUCAUCUCCGGGGGUAGAGCACUGUUUCGGCUAGGGGGCCAUCCCGGCUUACCAACCCGAUGCAAACUGCGAAUACCGGAGAAUGUUAUCACGGGAGACACACGGCGGGUGCUAACGUCCGUCGUGAAGAGGGAAACAACCCAGACCGCCAGCUAAGGUCCCAAAGUCAUGGUUAAGUGGGAAACGAUGUGGGAAGGCCCAGACAGCCAGGAUGUUGGCUUAGAAGCAGCCAUCAUUUAAAGAAAGCGUAAUAGCUCACUGGUCGAGUCGGCCUGCGCGGAAGAUGUAACGGGGCUAAACCAUGCACCGAAGCUGCGGCAGCGAACGUAUCACUUAAAGCGAUUCAGCGGGUUACGAUUGACGGAGCGAAGCGACGUCAAAGCGUAUACAAAGUCGAGUCGGUUUAAGGAUACGUUCGUUGGGUAGGGGAGCGUUCUGUAAGCCUGUGAAGGUGGCCUGUGAGGGUUGCUGGAGGUAUCAGAAGUGCGAAUGCUGACAUAAGUAACGAUAAAGCGGGUGAAAAGCCCGCUCGCCGGAAGACCAAGGGUUCCUGUCCAACGUUAAUCGGGGCAGGGUGAGUCGACCCCUAAGGCGAGGCCGAAAGGCGUAGUCGAUGGGAAACGGGUUAAUAUUCCCGUACUUGGUGUUACUGCGAAGGGGGGACGGAGAAGGCUAUGUUGGCCGGGCGACGGUUGUCCCGGUUUAAGCGUGUAGGUGUGUGUUCCAGGUAAAUCCGGUUCACUUUAACACUGAGGCGUGAUGACGAGGCACUACGGUGCUGAAGCAACAAAUGCCCUGCUUCCAGGAAAAGCCUCUAAGCAUCAGGUAACAUCAAAUCGUACCCCAAACCGACACAGGUGGUCAGGUAGAGAAUACCAAGGCGCUUGAGAGAACUCGGGUGAAGGAACUAGGCAAAAUGGUGCCGUAACUUCGGGAGAAGGCACGCUGACACGUAGGUGAAGUGAUUUACUCACGGAGCUGAAGUCAGUCGAAGAUACCAGCUGGCUGCAACUGUUUAUUAAAAACACAGCACUGUGCAAACACGAAAGUGGACGUAUACGGUGUGACGCCUGCCCGGUGCCGGAAGGUUAAUUGAUGGGGUCAGCGCAAGCGAAGCUCCUGAUCGAAGCCCCGGUAAACGGCGGCCGUAACUAUAACGGUCCUAAGGUAGCGAAAUUCCUUGUCGGGUAAGUUCCGACCUGCACGAAUGGCGUAAUGAUGGCCAGGCUGUCUCCACCCGAGACUCAGUGAAAUUGAACUCGCUGUGAAGAUGCAGUGUACCCGCGGCAAGACGGAAAGACCCCGUGAACCUUUACUAUAGCUUGACACUGAACAUUGAGCCUUGAUGUGUAGGAUAGGUGGGAGGCUUUGAAGCGUGGACGCCAGUCUGCGUGGAGAGCCAACCUGAAAUACCCACCCUUUAAUGUUUGAUGUUCUAACGUGGACCCGUGAUCCGGGUUGCGGACAGUGUCUGGUGGGUAGUUUGACUGGGGCGGUCUCCUCCUAAAGAGUAACGGAGGAGCACGAAGGUUGGCUAAUCCUGGUCGGACAUCAGGAGGUUAGUGCAAUGGCAUAAGCCAGCUUGACUGCGAGCGUGACGGCGCGAGCAGGUGCGAAAGCAGGUCAUAGUGAUCCGGUGGUUCUGAAUGGAAGGGCCAUCGCUCAACGGAUAAAAGGUACUCCGGGGAUAACAGGCUGAUACCGCCCAAGAGUUCAUAUCGACGGCGGUGUUUGGCACCUCGAUGUCGGCUCAUCACAUCCUGGGGCUGAAGUAGGUCCCAAGGGUAUGGCUGUUCGCCAUUUAAAGUGGUACGCGAGCUGGGUUUAGAACGUCGUGAGACAGUUCGGUCCCUAUCUGCCGUGGGCGCUGGAGAACUGAGGGGGCUGCUCCUAGUACGAGAGGACCGGAGUGGACGCAUCACUGGUGUUCGGGUUGUCAUGCCAAUGGCACUGCCCGGUAGCUAAAUGCGGAAGAGAUAAGUGCUGAAAGCAUCUAAGCACGAAACUUGCCCCGAGAUGAGUUCUCCCUGAGACUUAGAGUCUCCUGAAGGAACGUUGAAGACGACGACGUUGAUAGGCCGGGUGUGUAAGCGCAGCGAUGCGUUGAGCUAACCGGUACUAAUGAACCGUGAGGCUUAACCUU